GGUACCUACGGGGCGCAGCAGUGAGGAAUAUUGGUCAAUGGGCGCAAGCCUGAACCAGCCAAGUCGCGUGAGGGAUGACGGUCCUAUGGAUUGUAAACCUCUUUUGUCGGGGAGCAAGGCCCGCCACGUGUGGCGGGGAGGAGAGUACCCGAAGAAAAAGCAUCGGCUAACUCCGUGCCAGCAGCCGCGGUAAUACGGAGGAUGCGAGCGUUAUCCGGGUUUAUUGGGUUUAAAGGGUGCGGAGGCGGCAGGGUAAGUAAGCUGUCACAUGUCGUUGCUCAACACCGGCCUGCAGGUGAAACUGG
RNAcentral lists this ribosomal RNA (305 nucleotides) under uncultured bacterium. RNAcentral describes it as "bacterial SSU rRNA". It matches the Rfam family "Bacterial small subunit ribosomal RNA", at positions 334 to 636 of the family's 1533-position model. The record is from RNAcentral.